CGUACAAGGUCUCCGUAGGUGAACCUGCGGAGGGAUCAUUACAAGAACGCCCGGGCUUCGGCCUGGUUAUUCAUAACCCUUUGUUGUCCGACUCUGUUGCCUCCGGGGCGACCCUGCCUUCGGGCGGGGGCUCCGGGUGGACACUUCAAACUCUUGCGUAACUUUGCAGUCUGAGUAAACUUAAUUAAUAAAUUAAAACUUUUAACAACGGAUCUCUUGGUUCUGGCAUCGAUGAAGAACGCAGCGAAAUGCGAUAAGUAAUGUGAAUUGCAGAAUUCAGUGAAUCAUCGAAUCUUUGAACGCACAUUGCGCCCCCUGGUAUUCCGGGGGGCAUGCCUGUUCGAGCGUCAUUUCACCACUCAAGCCUCGCUUGGUAUUGGGCAACGCGGUCCGCCGCGUGCCUUAAAUCGUCCGGCUGGGUCUUCUGUCCCCUAAGCGUUGUGGAAACUAUUCGCUAAAGGGUGUUCGGGAGGCUACGCCGUAAAACAACCCCAUUUCUAAGGUUGACCUCGGAUCAGGUAGGGAUACCCGC
This 532-nucleotide ribosomal RNA is filed under the name uncultured fungus. RNAcentral's name for it is "eukaryotic LSU rRNA". The stretch from base 197 to 350 matches the Rfam family "5.8S ribosomal RNA". The record is from RNAcentral. Lineage: Eukaryota; Fungi.